GACGAACGCUGGCGGCGUGCUUAACACAUGCAAGUCGAACGCUGAAGCCCUUUCGGGGGUGGAUGAGUGGCGAACGGGUGAGUAACACGUGGGUAAUCUGCCCUGUACUUCGGGAUAAGCCUUGGAAACGGGGUCUAAUACCGGAUAGGACCUGUCCUCGCAUGGGGGUGGGUGGAAAGUUCCGGCGGUAUGGGAUGAGCCCGCGGCCUAUCAGCUUGUUGGUGGGGUAGUGGCCUACCAAGGCGACGACGGGUAGCCGGCCUGAGAGGGUGACCGGUCACACUGGGACUGAGGCACGGCCAAGACUCCUACGGGAGGGAGCGGUGGGGAAUCUUGCGCAAUGGGCGAAAGCCUGACGCAGCAACGCCGCGUGGGGGAUGACGGCCUUCGGGUUGUAAACCUCUUUCGACAUCGACGAAGGGGCCCUGUUGUGGGGUUUUGACGGUAGGUGUAGAAGAAGCACCGGCUAACUACGUGCCAGCCGCCGCCGUAA
Molecule: ribosomal RNA, 493 nt
Filed under: uncultured bacterium
Lineage: Bacteria
Description: partial 16S ribosomal RNA
Rfam family: Bacterial small subunit ribosomal RNA
Source: RNAcentral